GAUAAACGCUGGCGGCGUGCAUGAGACAUGCAAGUCGAACGGACGAUCGAGGCUUGCUUCGAUCGUUAGUGGCGGACGGCUGAGUAACGCGUAGGUGACCUGCCCCGAAGUGGGGAAUAACUGCCCGAAAGGGUGGCUAAUACCGCAUGUGGUGGUGUGUUCAAUCACACCAGUAAAGCCGCAAGGCGCUUCGGGAGGGGCCUGCGUCCGAUUAGCUAGUUGGUGAGGAAUGGCUCACCAAGGCUUCGAUCUGUAGCUGGUCUGAGAGGACGGCCAGCCACACUGGCACUGACACACGGGCCAGACUCCUACGGGAGGCAGCAGUGGGGAAUUUUGGGCAAUGGGCGCAAGCCUGACCCAGCAACGCCGCGUGAGGGAGGAAAUCCUUCGGGAUGUAAACCUCACAAGCAAGGGAAGAGAGCUCCGGACCGAAUAAGUUCGGAGUCCGAC
This 450-nucleotide ribosomal RNA is filed under the name uncultured bacterium. RNAcentral's name for it is "bacterial SSU rRNA". It matches the Rfam family "Bacterial small subunit ribosomal RNA", at positions 28 to 473 of the family's 1533-position model. The record is from RNAcentral.